RNAcentral lists this long non-coding RNA (267 nucleotides) under Pelobates cultripes (western spadefoot toad). The record is from RNAcentral. Lineage: Eukaryota; Metazoa; Chordata; Amphibia; Anura; Pelobatidae.
CGUAUAUACUCGUGUAUAAGUCGAUCUCAUGUAUAAGUCGAGUGCAGUUUUGUGACCAACAAUUGUGAAAUAUGCUAUGCCUCGUGGAUAAGUCGAGGGUAAAACGUGGGGCUAUGAAAUUCUGUGAUUUUUAUAAUUAUAUACAUACACACUCAUACAAACACACACUCUGCAUUAUAUAUAUACACACACACACACACACACACACACACUCAUACAAACACACACUCUGCAUUAUACACACACACUCAUACAAACACACACUCU